Molecule: ribosomal RNA, 1107 nt
Filed under: uncultured organism
Description: bacterial SSU rRNA
Rfam family: Bacterial small subunit ribosomal RNA
Source: RNAcentral
UAAUACCGCAUACGUCCUGAGGGAGAAAGCGGGGGACCAUUUGGCCCCGCGCUAUCGGAUGAGCCCAUGUCAGAUUAUCUAGUUGGUAAGGUAAGGGCUUACCAAGGCGACCAUCCGUAGCUGGUCUGAGACGAUGAUCAGCCGCACUGGGACUGAGACACGUGCCCAGACUCCUACUGCAGGCAGCAGUCGGGAAUAUUGGACAAUGGGGGCAACCCUGAUCCAGCAAUGCCGCGUGUGGUGAAGAAGGCCUGCGGGUUGUAAAGCCCUUUCGGUACUGAAGAAAGGCCCUGUAUAAAUAUCAUGGGGUGUUGACGUUAGCUACAGAAGAAGCACCGGCAAACUCUGUGCCAGCAGCCUCUGUAAUACUGAGGGUGCGAGCCGUAAUCGGAAUCACUGGGCGUAAUGGGUGCGUACGCGGUCGCUUAAGUCGGAUGUGAAAGCCCUGGGCUUAACCUGGGAACCGCAUUCGAUACUGGGUAACUAGAGUCUGAUAGAGGGUGGUGGAAUUCCGGGUGUAACGGUGAAAUGCGUAGAUAUCCGGAGGAACACCAGUGGCGAAGGCGGCUACCUGGAUCAAGACUGACGCUGAGGCACGAAAGCGUGGGGAGCAAACAGGACUAGAUACCCUGGUAGUCCACGCCUAAACGAUGAGAACUAGCUGUUGGGGGUGACUGGCCCUUGGUAGCGAAGCCAACGCGAUAAGUUCUCCGCCUGGGGAGUACGGCCGCAAGGUUAAAACUCAAAUGAAUUGACGGGGGCCCGCACAAGCGGUGGAGCAUGUGGUUUAAUUCGAUGCAACCCGAAGAACCUUACCUGGCCUUGACAUCCCCCGAACCCUUGAGAGAUUGAGGGGUGCCUUCGGGACCGGGGAGACAGGUGCUGCAUGGCUGUUGUCAGCUCGUGUCGUGAGAUGUUGGGUUAAGUCCCGCUACGAGCGCAACCCUUGUCCUUAGUUGCCAGCAUUUCGGAUGGGAACUGUAAGGAGACUGCCGGUGACAAACCGGAGGAAGGUGGGGUAUGACGUCAAGUCAUCAUGGCCCUUAUGGCCAGGGCUACACACGUGCUACAAUGGCCGGUACAGAGGGAGGCGAAGCUGCGAGGUGA